This 254-nucleotide long non-coding RNA is filed under the name Lathyrus oleraceus (garden pea). RNAcentral describes it as "Pisum sativum (pea) long non-coding RNA (PSAT_LNC008644)". The record is from RNAcentral. Lineage: Eukaryota; Viridiplantae; Streptophyta; Magnoliopsida; Fabales; Fabaceae.
AGAAGAGUUUACAUCAAGAUUGAUAUUUGCAAAGAUCUUGAGGACAUUGCUUCCAAAAUUCGAUCAUAUGGUUGUAGCCAUAGAAGAAUCGAAGGACCAGUCAAGUAUGAAAAAAGAAUAGCUUUAUAUGACACUUAAAUAUCAUGAACAAAGAAUUGCUAAAAGAUCUGCAAGCAAGACGAAAGGUAAUGUAGCUCUGCAAACACAAUCAAAAAAAGAAAAUAAAAGCAAAGAAAGAUGGAAUGACAACAAAG